UUUCUUAGACAGAAGAGAAUAGUGUAACAGAAUUUUCAUAAUGUUCAUGCCAAAGGGUGAAGCAAAUGGGAAUAGUUACACUUGAACUCUCUCAUAUUUGCAGAAUGGUGAAUAUAUUAUUAAUGUGGUUGCUGUGAAAUAGUGUAAUUGAGUCAAAUAUUUGGCAUAAUAAAUUCAGUGUACCUUUGGUUCUUCAUAGGAGCUCAGUUUCCUGUGUUAAGCUCACUG
Molecule: non-coding RNA, 228 nt
Organism: Sturnus vulgaris (Common starling)
Lineage: Eukaryota; Metazoa; Chordata; Aves; Passeriformes; Sturnidae
Source: RefSeq, a predicted model, not a curated record